CUGGUUCUGGUUUAGGUCCAGGUCCAGGUUCUGGUUCAGGUCUGGGUUUAGGUUUGGGUUUGGGUUCAGGUUCUGGUUCUGGUUCUGGACUCCCCAUAAUGGAGCUGCACCACCUGCAACACAACGGGGUCAAGGCUCUGGGUCUGGUUCUGGUUCGGGUUCUGGUUUGGGUUUAGGUUCUGGUUCCCCCCCCAUAGGGUUUUAGUGUGGUCGGGGUCUGGUUCUGGUUCUGGUUUAGGUUCUGGUUCAGGGUCCAAUGGGGGCAGGGUCUGGUUCUGGUUCUGGUUCUGGUUCUGGUUUAGGUUCUGGUUCUGGUUCUGGUUUAGGUUCUGGUUUAUGUUCUGGUUCUGGUUUAGGUUCUGAUUCUGGUUUAGGUCCAGGUCCAGGCUCUGGUUCAGGUCUGGGUUUAGGUUUGGGUUCAGGUUCUGGUUCUGGUUCUGGACUCCCCAUAACGGAGCUGCACCACCUGCAACACAACGGGGUCAAGGCUCUGGGUCUGGUUCUGGUUCGGGUUCUGGUUU
RNAcentral lists this long non-coding RNA (521 nucleotides) under Coturnix japonica (Japanese quail). RNAcentral's name for it is "lncRNA (ENSCJPG00005000888.1)". Lineage: Eukaryota; Metazoa; Chordata; Aves; Galliformes; Phasianidae. The record is from RNAcentral.